AAGCGACAAGUGAACAUUGACAUCCAUGAAGGCCAAUGGUAGCUCAGUCUUCAGUUCUCUGACUCCCAAGCUUCCCAUUCUCUUAGGAGGCUGCAUUUGUGGCGCUAAAAAAAGGGAUGGGCGUGGGAGAUUCCAGGACAUGUGCUCGCUGAAGAUACAACUGUUAGUCCAAGAUAGCAGAUCCUGUCAACCACAUUUCAUAGAGUUCUGAUUCCAAGAGAGACGGGGUUUCACCAUAUUGGACAGGCUGGUCUGGAACUCCUGCCUUCCUGAUCCGCCAGCCUCUGCCUCCUAAGAUGUUUUGUUCAUUUUUCUACUGGAUUCUUUUCAUUAUUAAUUCUGGAAGUAUUUUAAUAUUGUAGAAAUAAAUUGC
Pongo pygmaeus (Bornean orangutan) is the source of this 373-nucleotide long non-coding RNA. RefSeq lists it as uncharacterized. The record is from RefSeq and is a predicted model, not a curated record. Lineage: Eukaryota; Metazoa; Chordata; Mammalia; Primates; Hominidae. The transcript is spliced from 3 exons.